This 492-nucleotide ribosomal RNA is filed under the name uncultured bacterium. RNAcentral's name for it is "bacterial SSU rRNA". It matches the Rfam family "Bacterial small subunit ribosomal RNA", at positions 28 to 491 of the family's 1533-position model. The record is from RNAcentral.
GACGAACGCUGGCGGCGUGCCUAAUACAUGCAAGUCGAACGCUUCUUUCCUCCCGAGUGCUUGCACUCAAUUGGAAAGAGGAGUGGCGGACGGGUGAGUAACACGUGGGUAACCUACCCAUCAGAGGGGGAUAACACUUGGAAACAGGUGCUAAUACCGCAUAACAGUUUAUGCCGCAUGGCAUAAGAGUGAAAGGCGCUUUCGGGUGUCGCUGAUGGAUGGACCCGCGGUGCAUUAGCUAGUUGGUGAGGUAACGGCUCACCAAGGCCACGAUGCAUAGCCGACCUGAGAGGGUGAUCGGCCACACUGGGACUGAGACACGGCCCAGACUCCUACGGGAGGCAGCAGUAGGGAAUCUUCGGCAAUGGACGAAAGUCUGACCGAGCAACGCCGCGUGAGUGAAGAAGGUUUUCGGAUCGUAAAACUCUGUUGUUAGAGAAGAACAAGGACGUUAGUAACUGAACGUCCCCUGACGGUAUCUAACCAGUAGGA